GAUGAACGCUGGCGGCGUGCCUAAUACAUGCAAGUCGAGCGAACGGACGAGAAGCUUGCUUUUCUGAUGUUAGCGGCGGACGGGUGAGUAACACGUGGAUAACCUACCUAUAAGACUGGGAUAACUUCGGGAAACCGGAGCUAAUACCGGAUAAUAUUUUGAACCGCAUGGUUCAAAAGUGAAAGACGGUCUUGCUGUCACUUAUAGAUGGAUCCGCGCUGCAUUAGCUAGUUGGUAAGGUAACGGCUUACCAAGGCAACGAUGCAUAGCCGACCUGAGAGGGUAAUCGGCCACACUGGAACUGAGACACGGUCCAGACUCCUACGGGAGGCAGCAGUAGGGAAUCUUCCGCAAUGGGCGAAAGCCUGACGGAGCAACGCCGCGUGAGUGAUGAAGGUCUUCGGAUCGUAAAACUCUGUUAUUAGGGAAGAACAUAUGUGUAAGUAACUGUGCACAUCUUGACGGUACCUAAUCAGAAAGCCACGGCUAACUACGU
RNAcentral lists this ribosomal RNA (496 nucleotides) under uncultured bacterium. RNAcentral's name for it is "partial 16S ribosomal RNA". It matches the Rfam family "Bacterial small subunit ribosomal RNA", at positions 28 to 506 of the family's 1533-position model. The record is from RNAcentral.